GACGAACGCUGGCGGCGUGCUUAACACAUGCAAGUCACGGGGGCUGAGCAAUCAGCAACCGGCGAACGGGUGCGUAACACGUGAGCAACCUGCCGAUCUGUGGGGGAUAGCCGGGCUAACGCCCGGGUAAUACCGCAUACGUUCUCUUGGGGGAGUCCCUGAGAGAGGAAACCUCCGGGGCAGAUCGAGGGGCUCGCGGCCUAUCAGCUAGUUGGCGGGGUCAUGGCCCACCAAGGCGACGACGGGUAGCUGGUCUGAGAGGAUGGCCAG
RNAcentral lists this ribosomal RNA (270 nucleotides) under uncultured bacterium. RNAcentral's name for it is "partial 16S ribosomal RNA". It matches the Rfam family "Bacterial small subunit ribosomal RNA", at positions 28 to 307 of the family's 1533-position model. The record is from RNAcentral.